Molecule: ribosomal RNA, 253 nt
Filed under: uncultured bacterium
Lineage: Bacteria
Description: partial 16S ribosomal RNA
Rfam family: Bacterial small subunit ribosomal RNA
Source: RNAcentral
UACGUAGGGUGCGAGCGUUGUCCGGAAUUAUUGGGCGUAAAGGGCUCGUAGGCGGUUUGUCGCGUCGGGAGUGAAAAUCCAGGGCUUAACUCUGGACUGGCUUUCGAUACGGGCAGACUAGAGGUAUGCAGGGGAGAACGGAAUUCCUGGUGUAGCGGUGAAAUGCGCAGAUAUCAGGAGGAACACUAGUGGCGAAGGCGCCACUCUGGGCCGUAACUGACGCUGAGGAGCGAAAGCGUGGGUAGCAAACAGG